CAGAGGGUGCAAACGUUGUUCGGAAUUACUGGGCGUAAAGCGCGUGUAGGCGGUUAUGCAAGUCGGGUGUGAAAGCCCAGGGCUCAACCCUGGAAGUGCAUUCGAUACUGCGUAGCUAGAGUACUGGAGAGGAUGGUGGAACUCUCGGUGUAGAGGUGAAAUUCGUAGAUAUCGAGAAGAACACCGGUGGCGAAGGCGGCCAUCUGGACAGAUACUGACGCUGAGACGCGAAAGCGUGGGGAGCAAACAGGAUUAGAUACCCUGGUAGUCCACGCCGUAAACGAUGGGUGCUAGGUGUCACGGGUAUUGACCCCUGUGGUGCCGAAGCUAACGCAUUAAGCACCCCGCCUGGGAAGUACGGCCGCAAGGCUA
Molecule: ribosomal RNA, 372 nt
Filed under: uncultured organism
Description: bacterial SSU rRNA
Rfam family: Bacterial small subunit ribosomal RNA
Source: RNAcentral